Peromyscus maniculatus bairdii (prairie deer mouse) is the source of this 1008-nucleotide long non-coding RNA. RefSeq lists it as uncharacterized. The record is from RefSeq and is a predicted model, not a curated record. NCBI's taxonomy places the organism in Eukaryota, Metazoa, Chordata, Mammalia, Rodentia, Cricetidae.
UGCUGUCCAAAAUGGACAAACAGGACACAAAACAAAGGACUGCUGAUCCUUGCCAAGACAAGGCUAUGGUUUCUGCCUUCAAUCUCAGUGUUGAAAUUGCCUUUCGAACUUGAACCAGCCAAAAAAAAAUUCUAAAUGAAAACCAAGAAUAAAAAGAGCAAAGUCUGAAACCAACUUGAGAAGUGAACAGUGUACUUGGGCCGCACAUGGGCGCGGAGAGCGUGUGACAGCCUUCAUGGAGCAGGCCCUUCCUCGGCCAGGCCUAGCUGCUGGGCCAGCUCUGCCACCAUGUCCCAGAAGCCGUGGGGCAGCAACGGAAGUCGUGUUUGGAGGUUCCCCACAGAAGCUUGUUUACCGACUCCUCAGAGCCACGCUUGCCUGCUUCCUCGUUGGUUUCCUGCCACGGCAUGAUCGAUUCUUACAGAUACAUUUCGCUAGAAGUCGAGUGGUGCCAGGCAACCCGUGCCAAAGCAGUCUCAUUUCCAUGUGUGGUCUGGGUGGAUUGGGAGAGGCUACAGGCAGAACCGCUCCGAUUUCAGCAGCAUGCUUGGAAGAGUGUCUCAUCCACCUGAGCCUCCCUAGAGUGGUCAUCUGACCUAGUCCUUCCCCUGCUGGAACCCAGGGCACCACAUUACCUGCAAGACAGACUGGGAACUCAGCCAUGUGCAGGGCCACCAGGAAUCUCUGUCUUGGGUGCUAUGGUCCCUUCCCGCUGCUCUCCUGAGCACUUGCAUCUCCAUAAUGCAACUCUCCUUUCAGUACUGCUUGAGCCAACCGGAAUGCUCUGCCCUGCCUUGUCCCCACAGUUAAUCCAUACUCAGCUGGAGAGUCCAGCUGAACCGAACAUCCCCACCUUCCCUUUCUCUGGUCCACCCAACUGGAAAGAAUCAACACCCCAACCCCAACCCCCAUGAGUUCUUAUGUGCACUGUGCUUAUGACAGGAACUUGGGACAGGAUGUUUCUUAAAAUUCAAAAUGUUCAGUUUAUAAAAGAUAGAAAAGACCAAA